UGCUGCCUUAGCAGCAAAAUCGGCCAUUGUGUCACCAGAAAUGCAAACGUGGCUGGGUAACCAACAGAGAACGAUGUCGUAUUCGCCAUUAGCAAAAUCGUUAUAUAAUUCAAUAAUUUCAAUGAAAAGUAGAUGUUUACAAGAUAAGUUUAUAAUAGCCUGAAGGUACAAAAGCGAGUCCAAAAAGAUUAUAUACUGUCUAUAUUUAGGGUGUUUUUUUAAUAUAUUUAAGCGAUGUUAAUUUGCCUCGGCUGGAAAAAUAGAGCUAUCGUUUGAUAAUCUAGAAGAUAUUAUUCUGGAUCCAAUGACAGUUUAAAAGAUAUCAAAUGGUGACGGUUUAAGAGUUGAUGAGCAUUUAAAAACAGCAUACAGCAAAUUUUACACGUUAUGAAAAUGAGAACGGUUUACUUAGUGUGUUGUCCAUUAUAUUUUCAUUCCUCACUAUUCGAUAGAAUUCCAUUAAUAUAAAAAAAGAACUUGGUAUUAUACAAAUUAACAAAUGAAUGGAAAUUAUAAAAAAAAAACGUCGUUGUGGAAUAGGCCUCGUGUCAGAUUUCACUCGUGGUAAGUCCGUGUGUGAUAAGUCGUCUGUGCUGUGUGGUGAGUGGGUUUUCGAAUCCCAAAGGGGACUCAAUCAACCCCAAAAGUACUGUAAUUUGCAUUCUUUCAUAAAGUGUAGUCCCAUACAUAACAUAUGUUAUAUUUAAGUGCAGUUGAAAUUUAUCACAAAAACAGAUCGAAAAACACAUUUCUGUAUUAUUUACAUGAUGACUAUAUUUGAAAACGUUAAAUGAUACUCCACGUUGAUUGGUGGUUUUCUGAAGAUUGUGACAAACAGUGCCUAUGCCUUAACAAUACUGACAUAUGUGACAAGAUCACUGUUCUAGUGGUUGUUUCCCUGGGUAUUAUGGAACCGACUGCCAAAUAGGUAUGGUAUGGAAAUAGUUAGCAUUUACGUGAAAUUUGACAAAGGAUCGCACAUGCGUUUUAGGCUUGCACGAGUUUGUGAGUUAAGCAAUUUAUGUUUGUAAAAUAUGCCACUAAGCUGAAUAUUGUUUUCGUGCCUUGUGUUCGCAGCAUGCCCAGAUGGUUCCCAUGGUAUCAACUGUGCCUCACAAUGUCGAAACUGCCUCAGUGAUGUCAGCUGUAACAGGACAAAUGGAGUCUGUCCUGGAGGAUGUGCAGCAGGGUGGAUGGAUGACGACAAAAAGCCAUGUAUGCAGCUGAUCCUCACAGAGGAAAGAUUCAACUAGGGAGUACCUUAUUUGUUGCUGUGGCCACAGUGAUUGGCGCAAUCAUUUACAUCAAACGAGGACAUCCGCAGAGAUGGAAGCUCGUGUUGAUGGCGCCAUUCAGAGAAAUAUAGUACAAUUGCGUGCCCGGCUGUGUCGACAGUAUCAGAAACGCCACCAUCGACAACAACUGCUUCAGCCUUGACCAGUACCAAUGAGAGUGAUUACGGCACUGCUUCGAGAAAUGAACGCGAUUUUAAACUGUUUCUGAGGGACGGCGUUGUUCCGUCGCUAACAUUCUGUGUUUGAGGAUAAACUUUGUCAUGCAUGAUUUAAUCUCAUAUUAUAUGAUGCAGGAGAUAGUUCAGAAUAUGAGACACAUUU
RNAcentral lists this long non-coding RNA (1616 nucleotides) under Haliotis rubra (blacklip abalone). RNAcentral's name for it is "uncharacterized LOC124263307". Lineage: Eukaryota; Metazoa; Mollusca; Gastropoda; Lepetellida; Haliotidae. The record is from RNAcentral.